RNAcentral lists this long non-coding RNA (263 nucleotides) under Homo sapiens (human). RNAcentral describes it as "HSALNT0308749". Lineage: Eukaryota; Metazoa; Chordata; Mammalia; Primates; Hominidae. The record is from RNAcentral.
GGAAUCUUCUCUGUCAGCCUGUACAUCUAAAGGCAUGAAGCACUCAAUUGGGCAAUUAACAUUCUGUUAAAAAGGAAGAAGGAAAAAAAAAUUAGUGGCAAAUACUGUAAAGUGUACAGAAAAAAAAAUGCGGGGAGGUGGGGACUCAUGACAGCUGCUUAUAGAUAGGAUAAUAUUUCUUCCUAGUUUCAAGAACCUAGCAGCAUACUGGGCAAUAGGAGAUGUUCAAGAGUUACAUAAAUUAUAACUUAAACUAUAUUAUG